AGUGCGACCUGGCCUUCUUCCCCUCCCCCAUGCGGCCGGCUUCCGAGUGCGCAAGCCCAGAGUCGUCCGCGUUGUCCGCCUCUGCGCAAGCGCCGUGCUCCUCCCACGGCAGUUGGCCAUAUAGAGGCUGGGGGUGGGGGGGGAGGUCAAGCGUAGCCUCUUCUCCUUUACCAAGAUGGCGGCUUGUCCCUGUUUCGCCACAGUUCCUACCUUAUGAGCUCGGUUUUCUUAUGCUUAUAAGAGUGGAACAGACACAUGCCUCACUCCUGUCAGCAGUUCCACCUUUUCAUGGUUGAGGAGCACAUGUGGUCGCCAGCCUCCCAUCUCCAGAGUCCCCUAAGGCAAGGUGACUCACCCUCCUACUUCACAGAGUU
Molecule: long non-coding RNA, 374 nt
Filed under: Homo sapiens (human)
Lineage: Eukaryota; Metazoa; Chordata; Mammalia; Primates; Hominidae
Description: non-protein coding lnc-PASK-4:1
Source: RNAcentral